AUGUUCGGCAUUCUGACGGUCAUAACAUAUAAUUCCUGUACAACACGCUCAUAGCUAUCGAUUCGGUAUUUUAUGCCUGUAUCUGUCACGAACUUGACAAAUAAUAACUUGGAAAGGAAUGAAGCGCCGCGAGCAUCAUCGUCCGAUGAUUUGGCAAGUGGACGACAGGUGCUAGAAUGCGCAAGGAGGAAGGGGCGGGAGAGAGGGAGGGGGGAGCCAGACGGAUCUAUGGAGCCAACCGACGAAAAACAUCACCCCCCUGCAUUUUCCCUCCGCCGCGCGUCACCCCUUACCUGACGUACGAAGUGACAGACACACGCCCUUUGUCUACACCGAUUUGCUCGAUACGAAAAUACAGAAAAAUAAGUUUGCGCGAGUUCGAUUAACCUGUUUUUUAAGAAACGAAUUGUACCGAAGGACAACUGUCGUCAUUGAUUAAAUUAGGAGUUAUUUUUG
RNAcentral lists this long non-coding RNA (456 nucleotides) under Neodiprion pinetum (white pine sawfly). Its description in RNAcentral is "uncharacterized LOC124213631". Lineage: Eukaryota; Metazoa; Arthropoda; Insecta; Hymenoptera; Diprionidae. The record is from RNAcentral.